This 73-nucleotide transfer RNA is filed under the name Felis catus (domestic cat). It matches the Rfam family "tRNA". Rfam says of the family: Transfer RNA (tRNA) molecules are approximately 80 nucleotides in length. Their secondary structure includes four short double-helical elements and three loops (D, anti-codon, and T loops). Further hydrogen bonds mediate the characteristic L-shaped molecular structure. tRNAs have two regions of fundamental functional importance: the anti-codon, which is responsible for specific mRNA codon recognition, and the 3' end, to which the tRNAs corresponding amino acid is attached (by aminoacyl-tRNA synthetases). tRNAs cope with the degeneracy of the genetic code in two manners: having more than one tRNA (with a specific anti-codon) for a particular amino acid; and 'wobble' base-pairing, i.e. permitting non-standard base-pairing at the 3rd anti-codon position. Lineage: Eukaryota; Metazoa; Chordata; Mammalia; Carnivora; Felidae. The record is from Rfam by way of RNAcentral. RNAcentral also lists the same sequence under 4 other names.
ACCUGGCUGGCUCGGUUGGUAGAGCAUGUGACUCUUGAUCUCAGGGUUGUGAGUUCCAGCCCCAUGUUGGGUG